UGGAAAGCUAUCUACGCAAUGCUUCGAUAAUGGGUAGGCAAGCCUAUUGGUGGGAAGGCGCGAUUUUCGGUAAACAUGGUGGGGGGUAAAGCUUACAGGCAUCGUAUCAGAGGCUGUCCUGAGAGACGAUCAGCCACUGGACUGAGACUAGCCCAAGCUCCUACGGAAGCAGCAGUGGGAAAUUUGACAUGGCGCAAGCUGAUCCAGCAUUGCUGCGUGAGUGAAGAAGGCUUCGGGUGUAAGCUCUUUUGUCAGGGAAGAAACGGUGGAGGUGAUACAUCUGCUAAUGACGGUACUGAAGAAUAAGCACCGGCUAACUACGUGCCAGCAGCCGCGGUAAUACGUAGGGUGCAAGCGUUAAUCGGAAUUACUGGGCGUAAAGCGUGCGCAGGCGGUUGUGCAAGACAGAUGUGAAAUCCCCGGGCUCAACCUGGGAAUUGCAUUUGUGACUGCACGGCUAGAGUGUGUCAGAGGGGGGUAGAAUUCCACGUGUAGCAGUGAAGUGCGUAGAGAUGUGGAGGAAUACCGAUGGCGAAGGCAGCCCCCUGGGAUAACACUGACGCUCAUGCACGAAAGCGUGGGGAGCAAACAGGAUUAGAUACCCUGGUAGUCCACGCCCUAAACGAUGUCUACUAGUUGUCGGGUCUUAAUUGACUUGGUAACGCAGCUAACGCGUGAAGUAGACCGCCUGGGGAGUACGGUCGCAAGAUUAAAACUCAAAGGAAUUGACGGGGACCCGCACAAGCGGUGGAUGAUGUGGAUUAAUUCGAUGCAACGCGAAAAACCUUACCUACCCUUGACAUGUACGGAAGCCUCGAGAGAUUGAGGCGUGCUCGAAAGAGAGCCGUAACACAGGUGCUGCAUGGCUGUCGUCAGCUCGUGUCGUGAGAUGUUGGGUUAAGUCCCGCAACGAGCGCAACCCUUGUCAUUAGUUGCUACAUUUGGUUGGGCACUCUAAUGAGACUGCCGGUGACAAACCGGAGGAAGGUGGGGAUGACGUCAAGUCCUCAUGGCCCUUAUGGGUAGGGCUUCACACGUCAUACAAUGGUACAUACAGAGGGCUGCCAACCCGCGAGGGGGAGCUAAUCCCAGAAAGUGUAUCGUAGUCCGGAUUGCAGUCUGCAACUCGACUGCAUGAAGUUGGAAUCGCUAGUAAUCGCGGAUCAGCAUCGCGUAUGGCUC
RNAcentral lists this ribosomal RNA (1182 nucleotides) under uncultured bacterium. RNAcentral's name for it is "bacterial SSU rRNA". It matches the Rfam family "Bacterial small subunit ribosomal RNA", at positions 170 to 1368 of the family's 1533-position model. The record is from RNAcentral.